Molecule: long non-coding RNA, 2700 nt
Organism: Sapajus apella (tufted capuchin)
Lineage: Eukaryota; Metazoa; Chordata; Mammalia; Primates; Cebidae
Exons: 3
Source: RefSeq, a predicted model, not a curated record
GGACUCAGCCCGCCCACACCCAGGUGAAUAAACAGCCACGUUGCUCACACAAAGCCUGUUUGGGGAGUGUGUUCAUUCAGCGCAUAUUUUAAUAUUUGGUGCCAAAACCUGGGACAGGGGUACUCCUUUGGGCAGACUCACCCCCUGUCCCCGCUUCCCCUGUGGGAAGAGACCCACCUAAGACCUCAACACAUCAGACCUGACCAGCAGCUCACGUUUAGCAUGCCAAAUAGCUCUGCCAUCUUCAUAUCGGGUAAGAAGUCUCUCUCUCCCUCUCUCCCUUUUCCUUUAGAGAAAAGGAGACAAGUCUCUCCCUCUUUCUCUCUCUCUUCCUUUAGAGAAAAGAAGACAACUCUCUCCCUCUUUCUCUCUCUUUUCCUUUAAAUUCUUCUCCUUCUAGUACAGACAAAGGAGAUACUCUUUAUCUGUGUAGAGACAGAGGAGACAAGUCUCUCCCUCUCAAAAACUUCAACAUUGGUCACAGCCUCGGGAAGACAGUCUUCCCUUGGUGUCUGGUCAAUCGUGGGGAUGCCUGCCUUGAUCACUCACCCACGUUACAGCCCAGGACUCAGUCAGGGACGCCUGCUGAAAACUCUGGUAGCUGUUUGCUCCUUCUCUUGGUCUCUACUCCUCUCCUUAAAAUUUACCUCCUUCUCCAGGGGCAAUAUUCACCCUCUAUUCCUCAGUCUUUGCCUCUAGCCCGCAUCCUAAAAAACCUAAAACCUUUUCAACUGUCACCGCAUCUGAAACCUAAACGUCUCAUUUUUUUUCCUGUAACACGGCCUGGCCUCAAUACAAGUUACACAAUGGUUUCAAUGGCUAGAAAACGGCACUUUCAAUUUUUCUAUUCUGCGAGACCUAAACAAUUUUUGUCAAUGAAUGGGCAAAUGGUCUAAGAUGCCUGAUGUCCAGGCAUUUUUUUUACACUCCAAUCCCUCCCUAAUCUCUGCUGUCAAUACCACCUGUCCCAAAUUUUCCUUCUCUCCCUUCCGUCUGCCCCUCCUGCCUCUGCCAGCAACCCAGAAUCCUCCUUGUCCAUCAACCCUUCUGACCUUUCUCCUCCCCACCCGUGCAAACCAGGCCCUAAUCCAGGCCCUAAACACCGCCCCCCAGAGCUUCCCUCCUCUUCCUCUGCCCACAACCCAUCUCCUUAUGCCCCUCCUGUCUCCUCCCACCUCAUACCCUGCGACUAACUCCUCCAUCCCGCCCAACAAGUCCCCCUUCGAGAGGUGGCUGGAGCCGAAGGCACAGUUAGGGUGUACGUUCCUUUCUCUUUAUCUGGCCAGUGGUUAGGCUCCUUCUCAUUAGAUCCUGCUAAAUAUAUACAAGAGUUCUGAUAUUUAACCCAGUCCUACAAUCUCACCUGGAGUGACUUAAUGUCAUCCUUACUUCUACUCUCAUCUCUGAAGACUGUUUAUCACCCAAUCAACCCCUGACAUUAAACAACUACAGAAAUUAGAAUCUGGUCCUCAAACCUCACAGCAGGAAUUAAUCCACCUCAUCUUCAAGUGUUCAACAAUAGGGAAGAAGCUGCUCAGUGGCAGCGCAUCUCAGAACUAUAGAUGCUUCCCUCUGCCGUAAGACAAACCCCAGUCAUACCACCAGCUCACAAAGACUUCAAAGCGCCCAGACUGCAGCAUCCAGUCGCCUCUCCCAGAUCUUGCUUCAAGGGUCAAAAACCUGGCCACUGGGCCAAGGAACGCCCACAGCCUGGGAUUCCUCCUAAGCCCUGCCCCGUCUGUGCAGGGACCUCACUGGAAGUCGGACUGUCCAACUCAUGUCACUGUGGCUUGGCAACUAAAAACUAACAUUGCCUUAACCAGGGAGCUCCCUGGACUAUUACAGACGCCUAACAGCAGUGAUAUAGUUUUUACUUCUGCAUCCCUAACUUAAAGUUUAGGAUCAGUCUCAUAGGAACUUCUCACACAUGUUCUUCCUCCAGAGUCCAAUAUGAUGUCUAAAGCAGCUCUGUCCUGAACCACCGCUUGUCCAAUUUCAUCAUCCUCUUGGAUGAGGAGUUCCCUGGCUCAGAGGAGAAAAAAAAACAAAACUGUUUCUCUACUCUCAGAUGAGAAAACUGAAACAGAAAGGUCACCUCAGCUGGUGCAAAGUCAUAAAUGGCAAAACUGGAACAUAGAGAAGGGCUGUGUGGCCCCAAGUUCCACUUGUAAGCAUUGCUGCACAGCCCUGGACUUGCAUUUCUGUUCUUGAAUCUGAGGAAUGCAUCACCUAUAAGAUCUGCAUGCACCUUGAGACAUCUGCAUCACCUGCAAAUUUAGGUCCGUCCCAUCCCCACCUUGCCCCAGCCCACUCCUCUGUCUUACAUUUCAGUCCUCUGAGAGCUGGAGAGCUGGCCCAAGCCCCAAUCCAAGACACUCUGCUUGAUUCAAGCCAACUUCCCACCAAGAACUCAGCCUGCUGCUCCCCCAAGUCCUUCUUCCCCAAUAUUAAGGCAGUACAGGGCAGUUAAGAAAAGCUUACAGUUAGAUUCACUGCUCUGAGGCUCAGUUUCCUUAUCUACAAAGUCAAAGUAAUAUUCUUUCCCUUUAAGGUUGAAUGAAAUAAACUAUGUAAAGAACUCACUACAGGGAUUCUCUCCUGGGAGCUCCCAUCUGCCAUGAAUCUCUCAAAAUUGUAGUUUGCCAAAAAUAUUAGACCACCCUCCCUGCAUAGCAUUAAAGAUGCUUCACUCAACUUGUA